Molecule: ribosomal RNA, 500 nt
Filed under: uncultured bacterium
Lineage: Bacteria
Description: partial 16S ribosomal RNA
Rfam family: Bacterial small subunit ribosomal RNA
Source: RNAcentral
AUUGAACGCUGGCGGAAUGCUUUACACAUGCAAGUCGAACGGCAGCACGGACUUCGGUCUGGUGGCGAGUGGCGAACGGGUGAGUAAUACAUCGGAACGUGCCCAAUCGUGGGGGAUAACGUAGCGAAAGCUACGCUAAUACCGCAUACGAUCUAAGGAUGAAAGCGGGGGAUCGCAAGACCUCGCGCGAUUGGAGCGGCCGAUAUCAGAUUAGGUAGUUGGUGGGGUAAAGGCCCACCAAGCCAACGAUCUGUAGCUGGUCUGAGAGGACGACCAGCCACACUGGAACUGAGACACGGUCCAGACUCCUACGGGAGGCAGCAGUGGGGAAUUUUGGACAAUGGGCGAAAGCCUGAUCCAGCCAUUCCGCGUGCAGGAUGAAGGCCCUCGGGUUGUAAACUGCUUUUGUACAGAACGAAAAGGUUUCUACUAAUACUAGGAGCUCACGACGGUACUGUAAGAAUAAGCACCGGCUAACUACGUGCCAGCAGCCGCGGUAA